Long non-coding RNA from Vigna radiata var. radiata (mung bean), 2150 nucleotides. RefSeq lists it as uncharacterized. The transcript has 2 exons. The record is from RefSeq and is a predicted model, not a curated record. NCBI's taxonomy places the organism in Eukaryota, Viridiplantae, Streptophyta, Magnoliopsida, Fabales, Fabaceae.
UAGGGGUUCUCUCCCUAACCUCCAUUUCAACAUUGCACGCUCCAAAAUCAGAACAGCCAGGAGCUAGGGUUUCUCCUCUGCAUGAGAACACCAGAGAGGCUUUGCCUCUACCGUUCACUCAUGCACACACUGCCGUCGACGGCCACAGGCCGUGAGCCAAGACCGCACCGGUGACUCUGCUCGUCACCGGAGCCGACGCCGACCACCAGGUUUCCUCCCCUACUCGCCACCACCUCUACUCAGCCUCCACCGUUCUACGUCGCCGCUCCUCUUCCUCCUCAGUUCGAGGGUUCCCUUUCUCCUCCUCUCUACGUCGUCGUUGAAGUCUCAUCAUCUCAUCCUCGUCGGCGACUGCGACCUUUACCGAACACGUUGCACGAACCAACUUUCUUCUUCUUCGAACGAAACCGUCGCCGACAGUGAAACUGGUGCCACCGCCGCUGUCGACAACCGGUAGGAGCCGCUCUCGUUCACGGCGGUUCAAGAUGCCCUUGCUACCGCAAUCGAAGGGUGAAAGGAACACACUGUGGUGUUCCUGAGUGAAUCUGUGUGAGGUGGGGAAUGAAGAUGACACUCUGGUUGCGAUGCAGGGGUUUAUGGAGAUGAAAAAUGGGUUCUCUGCCUUUGCGCGUGCUUCUUUGUGGCUCGAAUGGAAAUGGAACUUGGUGUUGAGUGGUUGGAGGAAUGAUGGACAGUGCAGGGGGAUACAAGCCUGUGUGUGGAGCUUGAAAAUGAUUUUUUCUUUUUGGUGAUUGGUUUUAUCGUUGUGGCUUUGUGUUGUGCAGGUUGAAGAUGAUGGUGUUAUGCGUGUUGACUUAGCGGAAGUAUCAGGAGAAGAAUGACGAACUAGAGUUUCUUGCUGUCGAGAUCAAUGAGGAAAGGGUGAGGGGUUUGGAGGAUGACGCUAUCGUAAGCGUGGGUGAGGAUGAUUGUGGUUGGGAUGUAGGUUGGGGGACAAAGGCAAAGAUGAAUGGAGUCAGCUGGGGUAAAAGAACGGUCUUGAAUAAACUGACACGGGAUCUGUAAUUUGGUCUGUUGAUGCUAUUUGAUGCAGGUGGAAGAUGGUCUCGAAGAUAGCCAUAACUUAUACCAGUAUACCUAGAUUGAGAGGAACCUAUGGAGGAACCUAUGGUCUACUAUAAGGACAAAACCACUUCUAUUCUUUCAGUUUUUUAUAAGAACUGAUAUGGAAAUAUGAAGUCACAGAAGAAGCAAACGACUAUGUACUGAUCAAACAUCCUUCAUGCAUAUCCAGACAGCAUUAUUCAUUCAUACCCAACAUCAUUCAUUCAUAUCUAGACUCAUAACAGAGGGCAUGUAUUCACAUAAGGCAAAACCAAGAGCUUAAACAAGGAAACUUACCUUCGCAGCUUCAAAAGAACUCUCCCUUUUGGCUUCUAGUUCCCUCUGUCUUCUUGACUGGAAUUUUCCUUUGCUUUCCAAUGGUCUUGCCGGCGUAAGAAGGUAGAAUGGGAGGUUCAAGGAUGGCAACCAAAGUGAAGGCAAUUGGUUCCCUCUUAUCUCCGUGAGGUCUCUCUCCUAAGCCAUGAUGAUCGGUGUCAAAGGUGAGUCCUCAAUACUCUCUGGCUGUGAUGGUGAUUAUGGCCUCUGAGAUGGUGAAUACGACUGUGAUAAUGGGUAUUGGAGGUGGAUGAUUCACGCUGUUGGAGCCACGGUGGUUGGGUGUUGGAGGUUUUUUCUUUUUUCUGUGAAUCGAGGAAGUUGCUUCCAAGUUCUCUGUUCAAUGAAUGGAGUUGAGAGUAGUGAAAAAAAAUGUUUUUUUUUCAUUGAUUAGUCCGCAUCCCUUAAGAUUUCUUUUCUUUGCCUUUUGUCUUUUUUAUCUUUUUAUGUUUCAAAUGAAUGAAUUGGUCAAAGCAAAUAAGCAAAUCAGAGAUCCUUUUCCCAUUUGAUGUAUGAUCACAACUCUGCAUAAUGCAUUUUGAGCAAGGGAACCGAAGACCUUUUUCACACUGAUGCUGCAAGGGAUUUUUUUAAGCAUUGGUUGUAACGUUGUAGGGGUGAUGUUGCAGGGGUGAUGUUGCAGGGCAAAAAAUGUUUCAGGAAAGCUUAAUUUGUGAUUGCAUAGGCUGGGGAUGAGAGGAAGCAAAGUCUGCUUGUUUUUCUAAAAUAAUCACUUAGUUCACUAUCUA